RNAcentral lists this ribosomal RNA (822 nucleotides) under uncultured archaeon. Its description in RNAcentral is "bacterial SSU rRNA". It matches the Rfam family "Archaeal small subunit ribosomal RNA", at positions 85 to 910 of the family's 1478-position model. The record is from RNAcentral.
ACUGCUCAGUAACACGUGGAUAACCUAACCUGAAGCGGGGGAUAAUCUCGGAAAACUGAGGAUAAUACCCCAUAGGUCUUCGAUACUGGAAUGUUCCUAGGCUGAAAGCUAAGGCGCUUCAGGAUGGGUCUGCGGCCUAUCAGGUUGUAGUGAGUGUAAAGGACUCACUAGCCGACGACGGGUACGGGCCAUGGGAGUGGUAGCCCGGAGAUGGACUCUGAGACACGAGUCCAGGCCCUACGGGGCGCAGCAGGCGCGAAAACUUCGCAAUGCGCGGAAGCGCGACGAGGGGAUUCCAAGUGCAUGCACUCUGUGUAUGCUGUUUACUAGUUUAAAACGCUAGUAGAGUAAGGGCUGGGUAAGACUGGUGCCAGCCGCCGCGGUAAUACCAGCGGCCCUAGUGGUGAUCGUUAUUAUUGGGCCUAAAGCGUCCGUAGCCGGUCCGGUAAAUCUCUGGGUAAAUCGUUGGGCUUAACUCAACGAAUUCUGGGGAGACUGCCGGACUUGGGACCGGGAGAGGUCGGAGGUACUCCAGGGGUAGGGGUGAAAUCCUGUAAUCCUUGGGGGACCACCGGUGGCGAAGGCGUCCGACCAGAACGGGUCCGACGGUAAGGGACGAAGCCCUGGGGCGCGAACCGGAUUAGAUACCCGGGUAGUCCAGGGUGUAAACGCUGUGCGCUUGGUGUUGGGGGUCCUCCGUGGGCAUCCAGUGCCGGAGAGAAGUUGUUAAGCGCACCGCCUGGGGAGUACGGUCGCAAGACUGAAACUUAAAGGAAUUGGCGGGGGAGCACAGCAACGGGAGGAGCGUGCGGUUUAAUUGGA